GGUUAAGUUUUGGUGGUCAAGUCCAUAUCUCAGAUACUAUAAGCAAUAGGACUAGUAUAUUCGGUGUAUGGAAGGACUGUAAGGUGUACAUGUCCAACUGGCAGGUGUCAUCUAACCUUGACCUCAUUUUCAUGGUUCAGUGGUUAUAGUUAAAUUUUUGUGUUUUGGUCUGUUUUUCUCAUACCAUAUGCAAUAGGUCUACUAUAUUUGUUGUAUGGAAUGAUUGUUAAGUGUACAUGUCUAGCGGGCA
Molecule: long non-coding RNA, 250 nt
Filed under: Mytilus galloprovincialis (Mediterranean mussel)
Lineage: Eukaryota; Metazoa; Mollusca; Bivalvia; Mytilida; Mytilidae
Source: RNAcentral